AGUUGUUACAAAACAGAUUUCCUAAUCGUCGUAUGGAUUCUUUAGGCUCGUGCUACUGGGAUUCUGGGGCUAAGGGCAGUGCAGAGUGGUUCCAAUGCAUUGCUUCGUAAACUGUCGGGUAAAUUGAACGCUCAUAUUCGCUCCAAAUGGAUUGAGUACCACAGAUUAAAUUGCUGGAUGCAUCAUCGUUGCCCAAAAGCUGGAUCCGGCGAGUCAGGCCAAAUGGGAGUACCAUUUGAAGGACCAAGUCUUUAGAAAUUUAGAGUCAACGUGGGAUUCCAUGCAGGAUGCAGGAGACUCUGGACUCUGAAGGCUAUGGAUUUCGACUUGGCACGCUAUAUAUUAGGCAACCAGGUUGGAAAUAAUCGUAAUCGUAAUAUGCGUAGGCAAUCCUUUCUCGCCACAAAUCUUAAAACCCCACAUAAGCCCCACACACUGCGUUACCUGGGAAACCUCGUUUUCGUCACACGAAAGAUCACAGCUUACUGUGAAAGGCUUGAGUUAUUCCUAACUCUUCAGCUGUGCGGGAGUAUCGAACGGGCGGAUCAGGCUUUAUCAUAAUUGGACAUCAACAUCGUUAAGCAGUAAGGAUCACCUCAUAUGACCAGCGGAGGCCUGACUUAGUGAUUCCAUCUUAUCCCAGCGCAAGCGUAGCUACCAGCGGCCUCCAAAGGCUUUAUCGCAGUAGUGCUGCAAUGGUGUUUGUGAUUGACUGGAGUUUGGCAUUUCAAUAUAAGUUUAAAUUAGGAUCUUUUAAAAUUUUACCUACAGCUCGACAAUGUCAACGUGAACUUGGCCCCAACUUUACGCAUGUCAUGGAGUAGAUAUUUUGAGGUCGUUUGAGGUCAACAACCCACAACAAUAAAUACUUAUGAUAAGAUACCUA
Molecule: long non-coding RNA, 886 nt
Organism: Drosophila yakuba
Lineage: Eukaryota; Metazoa; Arthropoda; Insecta; Diptera; Drosophilidae
Exons: 2
Source: RefSeq, a predicted model, not a curated record